Molecule: RNA transcript, 8483 nt
Organism: Rhododendron vialii
Lineage: Eukaryota; Viridiplantae; Streptophyta; Magnoliopsida; Ericales; Ericaceae
Exons: 8
Source: RefSeq, a predicted model, not a curated record
CUCUCUCUCUCGCAUGCGCGCACACACACAAACACGCACACACACGAGGUUUGUGAAUUCAUAUACGUUUGAAAGCUUUGAGAUGCCUUAUGUAUGUUUCAGAGAUGAUACUAGGGAGGGACGAGUCUUGACAAUUGACAUCGAAAAGAAUCAGCCCACCAUCUGGAAAACUUGGUUGAAAACCUCAUAUACUCGGGCAGGGGAAAGAGCAGGGCUAUGUAAACAUCAUACAAAUAGGGCCAUGUAAACUGUUCCUAUAAUCGCUUCUAAUUAAAAGGAGGGUCCUAUUUUCGUUAUAAUAUCUGUCACUUACUAAGAGGAAGGAGACCAAGAGAUUAUCGAAAAGAGCCACUGACCGAUUCUUAGUUGAACUAGAAAAAUAAUUUCUCAGGGACUAACUUCUCAAAGAGGUCAAGUAACCCUCUCACUUUGAAUUCUACUAUAGGAGCAUAUUUUUGGUUCUUAAUUUUCCAUUUUGACCCCCUUAAAUGUUGAUUGACCCAACCCCGUGUAUUUGCCCCCACUCCAUUUUUUUGCUUAGCAUUUUUCUCUGUUAUGUAGAUCCUAAUGGUUUAUCAGGUGGCUUGGCUGUAUGGUGGAAUUCAGAUGCUAAAUUAUGUGUAGAGGAGAAAGGCCAUAACCUCAUCCAUGAAAUAUCAGCCUACUGAAUCGUGGAAUAUCUCGUUUGUUUAUGGGGGGCCUGCCAUAAAAGAUAAAGAUGGGGUUUGGGAUCAGUUGAGAGCCUUGAGCAAUUGUUUGCAUGGCCCAUGGGUGUGCUUAGGGGAUUUCAGUGAUAUCUCCUCAAUCGCGAAGAAGCAAGAUUUACUUGGCGGAAUAAUAGGAAGGAGGGAGAGACUCUUUUCGAAAGAAUCAACAGAGACCUACCAAAUCCAGAGUGGAGAGAACUCUUUCCUUUUGCUUCUGCAUUUCAUGAGCUUGCUGUUGGUUUUGCUGAUUGUCCAAUUGUCUUGGAUACAGAUCCCAAGCUGGCCAAGCUGGCUAGACCUUUCAGAUUUGAAUCCAUGUGGACAGGAGGAGUGUGGAGGUAUUAUCAAGCUUCAAUGGUCACAACUCAGGAGGGUCCUACAGGUUGGUAACACACUUCAUAUGCUUUAGAGGUUUUUUCUUUGGUACUUUUCCAUAUCUCAAAAGUGAAGUGGUUGAGUAGCGUCAUAAACUAUGAUUGUUAGGCAUUCAAAUUCUAUGUCAAUCAAGCAGAGUCUAUUGAGGAGUCCAAAGAAGAUUGAUAUUAGAGGCUGAAGCAAUCAUGGGUCAUUAACUAAAUAACACUUAUGGCUGAAUUUGGAGAACAUGCGUUGUUACUGUGAAUAUGCCAAUUCUUAUAGUCAAUUCACAAUGGGGGCCCCAUUUUUACGUAGUGUACCGUAGCAGCUAGCAUGUACACACACUCUAUAGCGAAAUGUACCAUCCGAAGUAGAUGAAUUAAGGGAGUAUUGGAGAAACCAGUUCCACAAAAGCCCCAAGGUUAAAAAGGAAAAAGUGCUCAAUUUAAGUCCAUAGAGCAUCUUUAGUUUUGAAUAGGAUUGUGCGAACACAGUUGGUUUUUUGGUUGCUAUUUUCAAAUCUUGGGUCCGCUCCUCUAAUAAAAGUUGAAAAGAUAAAAGUUCCUUGCUUGUAAAAGUUAUAUUUUGCAUGAGAUUUAAAUUUCUUGGUGUAGUUGCAAAUAACGUACUAAAUCCCAGUAAUUGAUGGGUGGUGGUGAGAUAGGUUUGCACCUAUUGGGAUUUCACUGAAGUUUGGUGAUAUCCGCAAUACGCAUGUAUUGAGAUCCAAUACUAGAAAAGUAUUAUCACAAAGAAAAAAUGAGAGUGCGCCAUCACAAAAAAGAAAAAUGAGAGUGUCACGAGAGAUUUUCAGCCAAAAACGAGCCUAUUCCACGGGAAAGAUCCAUUCUUCACUAUAUGAGAAUACAGAGUACAAGAAAAACACAUCAGGCUAAAUCAUAUAACCCAAACCCCAUGUACGCUCACUCUCACCACCCAUCAAUUUACGAUAGGAUUAUACCCACCCUGUUAUCUCAGAUGAAAAACACAUCAGGCUAAAUCAUAUAACCCAAACCCCUUGUUCGCUCACUCUCACCACCCAACAGUUUACAAUAGGACUAUACCCACCCUGUUAUCUCCGAUGAAAAACACAUGGACUCGGGUGCGAGUAUUGGCUGCGGGUGCAAGUCUAAGCGUCUGGCCUUCCAAAACUUAAAUCUUAGGAUGAUGAGAUAUGUGUCCCCAAAUUGGGUAUGGGUACAGAGACACGUCCUGAGCACUUGUUUGUAGUAUAUAUGUACCAGUGGCAGCUCCAGGAUUUCUCGAGAGGGUGUUCAAAAAAAACCCUUACAAUAUACUACCCAGUCUUUUAAAUGGUGCUUGUUGCUAGUCAAGCGGUGACCCACCGCCAAGCACCAAACCCGCCUAGGCGCCGCCGAGCAAUUCGGCAUUUUUUUUACAAAAUUCAAGAGAUUAUUUUUAAUACAAUAUGGACUGAAAUAAAAAAAAUAAAAGCGACACUGUUUAUAUAUUAAAAACUACGGUUACAAAAUUAAGUGAUCCAAUUUUCAAUCUAUUUCAACCGGUGUGAAGAUCUUAGUUUUAUGAUCAUUUUAUCCUAAAGAAGGAAUUAAAGAAGGAAAAAAAAGCAAUUAAGCCUUCCAUCUCAUGCAAAAUUGCAGCUUUUAUAGGAGCUGGAAAACACACUGCUUUAACGUAAUAAAUGCACCAAUCUAAAUUGCCAAAAAAUCUUAUUUGGUCUUUUCAUGAACUUUCAGUGAAUUAGGGUUUUUUUUUCAUAGCCAAACUUACAAAAACCCUAAUUCAUUGAAAGCCCUAAAUUAUCUCAAUUCAAGAAAAACCAAUGGAAUCAACACUAUCCAGGGCCAAUGCACACAGAACAUAAACGUGUAAAAAAACAAGGUCCGGAGAACAAAAAAGGUUGGUCCUAUACAAAAAGUUCCCAAUCCUUUGACCCAUUUACCAAAAAAUCACAACAAUGUACAAAGAAGCAUUUGAUUUAAGAAACACCAAACUAAAAGAAGGGAGAAACCAUAUUUUCUGAUCAAUCGUGCGUUUGUUAGUUCUAGGUAUAAUAAUUUGUGGGAAAGUAGAGCUGCUAGGUUUGAUAAGGCUAAGAAUGAGGAUAGCAACGUUUUGUAGAUUCAAGCUGUUAAAUUUCUCAUACUGUACACGAACACACAUACACAAUGUGUGUUUGAUCUGGUAUACCAAACCCAAAACAUAAGGGAAACUAAUAUAGAAAGAGAGUAAUACAACAAAAUUCAGACAAGUAAAGUGGAAUCAGCAACAUCCUUAGAGUUAAAUCUUAUUACAUCGCAUUCAAAACAAUCCACCACAACAACAGACUUUAGCAUCUUCAAGCCAUAACCGUCAUCCACCACAACAGACAUACAUCCGCAUCUUCUAGCCAUAACCACCAUCCAUAACAUUAGUUCUGCUCAAAGUGCCAUUUAACUAAAACAUAAACUGGAAAGAAAGUCUAACUAAAUGUCUGCAAUGAGGAAACGCCAUGGAAUAUGUCUCUAGCAUAUUAGGUCAUGGGACCGAGGGUUGUUGAACAAAUUGAACUGCCACACCAGAUAUCCUUUGAUCUGAGAAUAAAUGAAACAAGUGGAACUGUAAGUUAGCACAUUCAGUGACUGAGUUUUUAUCAAAAUCGAAACAUCACAUAUUUCGGGCUUAUCAUCUAGCCCAAGGUUAAUCAGUUAUUAGGUUCCUAAGAGAACAACCAUGUUUCUAGGGUGCAAUGAAAUUGAGUUUUCAUCAAGAUAAAAAGGCAGCACAGAUUUUUGCUUAUCAAACAACCUAAGGUUAAUCAGUUAUUAGGUCCCUAAGAGAACAACCGUGUUUCAAAAAGAGCAAUGACAAUCUUUAGAAAACUAAAUAGCUUGCUAUAAAAUGUUGGGAAAGAUACAUUGGCAAUGUUCAAUCAAACACAGUUUUUGUGGACACAAGUAUCUCUUUUUGAAGAACGUAAUUCAAAACCCAAAACCCAUCAUAAUCCUUACUAAAUUAAAGCAUAUUGAAGUGCAGUUUCAUUAUGCAUUUAUCACUAUUAUAACUUACCAAGCAUAGUAUCCUUCUGCAUUUACCCACUAACCAAAUGUGCUGGCAAUCUUGCCGAUUGAAUUUCCAAAUAGAUCAAGCAAUGCCAAGUAAAAUAAGAACUACAUGAUUCUUUUUCCAACCGAUAAGGAAGAUCAAUUGGAAAACUUGCACCCUAUGAAGUAUGAGGCACUAAGGAAGUAUGUCUAGUAUUCUAUUUAGUUUAGGCAUCGAAAAGAUUGUUACCUAUAGGUAAGACUGACGAUAGAGCUGUUUUCAUAUCUGUACCUGCAAUAAACACAAAAAGAUUUUAGAAACAAAAAACAAACUAAUUAAGGAACAAACGUCUAGGCUCAAUAUUUGUUACCUGGGUUUAUAUGAGUCUCAAAUUGUUCUUUUAGCCUCCAAAAGGCACGAAAUAAAAUUGCGCUGAUAUUGUGACUGCUGUUCAUUAUGAGAAUAAAAUGAUCCAACUUGUGGUCCCAUUGUGCCUAAAAUAUGAAAUACUAAUCAAUAAAAACAAGUAUCAACUAAUUAAUGUCAUUCUAUUUAGCAUUCAAGUUUAUUUACUGCUGUUUGGAAGAACUCUACAUCAUCACAAGGGUGGUGAUGGAGGAAGUUUCUCACACUUCCCAAUAAUGUCAUUUUGUCAUCAUGUGCUUCUUUCCACACCUUUGGCACAACAAAUAUACAUUGGUCUACCCAGGUCUCAUUCCUUCUCGCAGCCUUCCAAAUCCAAGACUUGUGGAAUUAUAUGGCUAGUUUCCUUAGGCUUUGUCUCUUCACAAUUGUUGUAUCCAUAUCACCAGUGACAUUGGGUUUAUACGCGAGAAUAUUCAUGUUACUAACAAUGCCUGGUGCAUUUGAGGAGUCAUGAAAAAAGGAUGUAGAAAAAUGUCAUCUAGAUCCCUCCUGCAAAUUAAUAAUUGCAUUAAGAUACCAAAAGGAUCUUAUUUCGCAUCUUAGUCAGUUGUUAAUGCAAUUAUUAAUUUGCAGGGGAGAUUUAGAUAGCAUUUUUCUACAUCCUUUUUUCAUGACUUCUCAAAUGCAUCAGGCAUUUGUUAGUAACAUGAAUAUUCUCGCGUAUAAAUCCAAUGUUAGUGGUGACAUGAAUACAACAAUUGUGAAGAGGCAAAGCCUAAGGAAACUAGCUAUAGAAUUCCACAAGUCUUGGAUUUGGAAGGCUGCGAGGAGGAAUGAGACCUGAGUAGACCAAUGUAUAUUUGUUGUGCCGAAGGUGUGGAAAGAAGCACAUGAUGACAAAAUAACAUUAUUGAGAAGUGUGAGAAACUUCCUCCAUCACCACCUUGAUGAUGUAAAGUUCUUCCAAACAGCGGCACAAUGGGACCAUAGGUUGGAUCAUUUUAUCCUCAUAAUAAACAACAGUCACAAUAUCAGCGCAAUUUUAUUUCGUGCCUUUUGGAGGCUAAAAGAACAAUUUGAGACUCAUGUAAACCUAGGUAACAAAUAUAUUGAGCCUAGACGUUUGUUCCUUAAUUAGUUUGUUUUUUGUUUCUAAAAUCUUUUUGUGUUCAGUGUAGGUACAGAUAUGAAAACCGCUUUAUUGUCAAUCUUACCUAUUGCUAGCAAUCUUUUCGAUGCCUAAAUUGAAGAGAAUGCUAGACAUACUUUCUUGGUGCCUCGUACUUCAUAGGGUUCCAAUUGAUCUUCCUUAUUGGUUGGAAAAAGAAUCAUGUAGUUCUUAUUUUACUUAGCAUUGCUUGAUUCAUUUGGAAAUUCAAUCGGCAAGAUUGCCAGCACAUUUGAUUCGUGGCUAAAUGCAGAAGGAUAUUGUGCUUGGUAAGUUAUAAUAGUGAUAAAUGGAACUGCACUUCAUUGUGCUUUAAUUUAGUAAGGAUUAUGAUGGGUUUUGAAUUACGUUAUUCAAAAAGCGAUACUUGUGUCCACAAAAAUUGUGUGUUUGAUUGAACCUUGCCAAUGUAUCUUUCCCAUCAUUUUAUAGCAAGCUAUUUAGUUUUCUAAAGAUUGUCAUUGCUCUUUUUGAAACACGGUUGUUCUCUCAGGGACUUGAAAACUGAUUAACCUUGGGCUGUUUAAUAAGCAAAAAUCUGUGCUGCCUUUUUUAUUUUGAUGAAAACUCAAUUUCAUUGCACCCUAGAAACAUGGUUGUUCUCUUAUGGACCUAAUAACUGAUUAACCUUGGGUUGUAUGAUAAGCCUGAAAUAUGUGCUGUUGUUUAAAAACUCAGUCACUGAAUGUGCUGACUUACAGUUCCACUUGUUUCAUUUAUUCUCAGAUCGAAGGAUAUUUGGUGUGGCAGUUCAAUCUGUUCAGCAACCCUCGGUCCCAUGACCCAAUAUGCUAGAGAUAUAUUCCAUGGCGUUUCCUCAUUGCAGACAUUUAGUUAGACUUUCUUUCCAGUUUUAGUUAAAUGGCACUUUGAGCAAAACUAAUGUUAUGGAUGAUGGUUAUGACUAGAAGAUGCGGACGUCUGAUGUGGUGGAUGAUGGUUAUGGCUUGAAGAUGUUGAAGUCUGUUGUUGUGGUGGAUUGUUUUGAAUGCGAUGUAAUAGGAUUUAACUCUAAGUAUGUUGCUGAUUCCCCUUUUCUUGUCUGGAUUUUGUUGUAUUGCUCUCAUUCUAUAUUAGUUUCCCUUAUGUUUUGGGUUUGGUAUACCAGAUCGAACACACAUUGUGUUCGUGUACAGUAUGAGAAAUUUAAUAGCUUGAAUCUACAAAUCGUUGCUAUCUUCAUUCCUCAGUGUGUAUUACAUUGCCUAUUUGUCCAUGUUCUUUCUUGUGAACGUGCUUCUAUUUUUGUUGAGGGAAUUUUUUUUUUUUGGAUGGUUUUGGUUUUGCAGUUUCGGUGAUAUAUUUUCUGGUACCUCGCAAUAAAUAGCAUGUUGUGUUAUUUGGUAUCAUCAUUAUGAUUUUGGUAUUUAUACCGCUUUUCUUAUAGUUCUCUGAAUUUGUGAAUGGUCUUUAAUCGUAAUGCUUUCAGUGUCCUAUAUUUUGCCAAAUUAAUCAUAAUGGUUAAUGGAAUAACUUUAUAAGUUUAGAAAAGAUGCAGUUGACAAAAUUGAAUUUUAAUUAUUUGCUGCUUGACUAAUGUUCCUCUAGCUUAUAGUCUGAAAUGUGCUCGUUGUUUAACCAAGUUAAGCUUGAAUUCAUCUUUUAAUCCCUCUGAGGUGAGCCUGUUACAUUUUUAUAGUCCAUAAACUAGUAACGAAAGGAAACACACACAAUAUUAGCUUAUGAUUGACUUGAGUGAUGUCUGUUUGAAAUCGAAUCACACUGAAAAAAAAAAUCAAGGUAAAUUUGACCUUUCAUAAGUUUCUAAUUUGACCAUGCUCCCAAAGUCUUCUUACUCUUGAAUUAGAGUUAGAAAGGAGCAAAAGAUGAGCAGGUAUGGCAUUCCUGCGUUGUUUUGGAUGCUUUGAUUGCUCUACUUAUUUAUACUGCUCUGAUAACUGAAAGCAAUUUAACUCAUCUGGUUGCUUGGUUUAUGAUUGGAUUGGACAUGAAUUACUCGUGUCGCGAUAAUUGUGCUUUCUGCCCAAGGAGUAACUUUGUUUGGGCGGUUGAUGCUAUUUCGUUGGCUCAGCAGAUUCGGAAGAGAUUUAUCGACCGGUAAGAACUGCAUGUUGGUUUCCUUGUUAUCAACCAUAUUGGUAUGCUUUCUUCUAUGUGAAGGUCAGUUUAUGCUAAUGGUAAUCUGACAAUAGGCUUUCCAUUGCUUUUCUCAUGUUGUCUCGUGGAAUGUCGUAUCAAAUUAGUCUUAUUCUGAAUCCUUUGUUUAAUGCUUCCAUGAGACUAGGGCUGCAAACGAGCCGAGCCGACCUCUAUAGUGUUUGAGCUCAACUAGUUUAGUAAACGAGCCUAAAACUCAAGCUCGAGCUUCGCUCGUUUAGUAAACGAGCCAAGCCUAGCCUUAACGAGCCUCUUGGUACGGGCGUCAAGCAUGUGAAGGGAAUGCUGCUUUACGGGGCUCCUGGUACGGGGAAGACUUUAAUGGCUCGCCAGAUUGGGAAAAUGUUAAAUGGGAAGGAUCCGAAGAUCGUCAAUGGGCCUGAAGUGUUAAGCAAAUUUGUUGGUGAAACUGAGAAGAAUGUAAGAUUUAUUUGCUGAUGCUGAACAGGACCAGAGAACUUGGGGGGAUCAAGGCGACUUACAUGUUAUCAUAUUUGAUGAAAUUGAUGCUAUCUGUAAGGUAUGAGCUCUCUAAGUCUUCACAUGAUAUCAGUGGCAGCACUUUUGAGAGCUUAUCUAACAACUGACAAGUCUUAUGAACAUUCACACUUCGAGAACUUAGUCAAGAGGUUCAACUAGAGAUGGUACUGGAGUUCAUGAUAGCAUUGUUAACCAGCUCCGGACAAAGAUAGAAGGUGUUGAGUCUUUGAACGAUGUGUUGCUGAUUGGGAUGACCAACAGAAAGGAUUUACUUGAUGAAG